AUUGAACGCUGGCGGCAGGCCUAACACAUGCAAGUCGAACGAGUGGCGGACGGGUGAGUAAUGUCUGGGAAACUGCCUGAUGGAGGGGGAUAACUACUGGACACGGUAGCUAAUACCGCAUACCAUCGGAUGUUCCCAGAUGGGAUUAGCUAGUAGGUGGGGUAAAGUCUCACCUAGGCGACGAUCCAUAGCUGGUAGGAGAGGAUGACCAGCCAUACUGGAACUGAGACACGGUCCAGACUCCUCAGGGAGGUAGCAGUGGGUAAUAGGGAACAAUGGGCUCAAGCCUGAUGCAGCCAUGCAGGGUGUAUGAAGAAUGCCUUCGUGUUGUAAAGUACUUUCAGCGGGGAGGCGUUACCCGCAGAAGAAGCACCGGCUAACUCCGUGCCAGCAGCCGCGGUAAUAC
RNAcentral lists this ribosomal RNA (406 nucleotides) under uncultured bacterium. RNAcentral describes it as "partial 16S ribosomal RNA". It matches the Rfam family "Bacterial small subunit ribosomal RNA", at positions 30 to 526 of the family's 1533-position model. The record is from RNAcentral.